AGAUGAUAUGCUAUUAUGAAAGAUUAAGCCAUGCAGGCUAGACGGACCAUUAUGGUUUUCGGUGAACAGCUCAGAAAUGCGGCCAAAGAGGUAUCAAUCGACUCAAGGGAUCGAAUCUAGAACGAUGGUAAUAAUACCUACGAUCCCGAGAGGUUUCUUUCCCAAUUGGGUGUCCUUCGGGGCAUUUCAAGGGAAAAUCWACUUGGCAAGCAACGUUACCAGGCGACUGGUGUACGAUAUGAUAGACCGUGCUAUCAAAUUGAAGGUUUUCUAACAGAUUACCUUGUUCCUUACGGAUAACGUGAACAUGAAGGUGCUGUUCCGGAGAGGAUGCCUGAGAUACAGCAACCACUUCCAUGGAAGGCAGCAGGCACGUAAAUUACCCAAUGUGAAGAGCAUGAGGUAGUGACCAUUGCUAUCAAUCAGUGUCCUUAUGGGCUACUGUCGAAAUACGAAUAAUUUAAGCAAAUAAAUGCUUAUGAAUGAGAGGGCAAGUCUGGUGCCAGCAGCCGCGGUAAUUCCAGCUCUUGAAGUGUAUAUCACUGAUGUUUAUGGUUAGAAAGCUCUUAAUUGGAUAUCUGAUAGUCUCUUUUGAGACUCCAAGCUGUUCCUCGGAUCAGCUGAGUUGCUCUGCUCAAGCAGAGAGCUCAAAUCAGGUCGGUUGACCAUGAAUGAAGUACCACGGUACAAGUGAAACGUAUCAAUGACGGCUUCGGCUGUCAUUUGAAUUCAAUGAUUACGAAAGACCCUUACGGGGAUUCAUGUAUAUGGCCACGAGGAGUGAAACCCGUUGACUGGCCAUAGACAACCGAUGGCGAAAGCAUUUGUCCAGAAUGUCUUUCCUAAGCAAGAACGAAGGUUGACGGCUCAAAAGUGAUUAGAUACCGCCGUAGUGUCAACGUUCAACGUUUUACACUUACCCCUUGCGAAGGCUUAUGCCGGCGCGAUAAGUGACAGGGAAACCACGUAAGUGGCCCUGUGCCUGGGGAAGUAUGGUCGCAAGACUGAAACUUAAAGGAAUUGACGGAAGAGCACCACCAGGAGUGGAGCCUGCGGCUUAAUUUGACUCAACACGGGGGUAAUUUACCCGGACCAGACAGUGCAAUGUUUGACUCUCUGAUUCCCCUUCAUGAAUCACUGGCAGGUGGUGCAUGGCCGUUCUUAGUUGGUGAAGUGAUUUGUCAGGUCCAUUCCGAGAACGAGCGAGACUCUAGUCGAGUAAAAGGCAUGGGUUCGAAUCCCUUGUUUCUUUCAGACAUUGAUUCCAAUGAAGGGGUAUGAAAAAGAGCCAUAACAGGUCUGUUAUGCCCUUAGAUGUUCGGGGCUGCACGCGGGUUACAAUAAGGGUAAAGUAAAGUGAUACCCUAUUGUACCCGGGUCUGGGAUUUGCUACUAUGUCUCACGAACAAGGAAUUCCUAGUAAGAGUAAAGGUCAUAAGCAUACUCUGAUUGUGUCCCUGCUCUUUGUACACACCGCCCGUCGCUACCCGGGACUGAAUUGUAGCGAGAACUGUUGGGAUUGUCUCUGGAAGCUUCGGCCGAAAGAGUGCGAGAACAGCAUUGAUCGUUACGGUUUGAACCGGGUAAAAGUCGUAACAAGGUAACG
This 1606-nucleotide ribosomal RNA is filed under the name Pelodera cylindrica. Its description in RNAcentral is "bacterial SSU rRNA". It matches the Rfam family "Eukaryotic small subunit ribosomal RNA". The record is from RNAcentral. Lineage: Eukaryota; Metazoa; Nematoda; Chromadorea; Rhabditida; Rhabditidae.